This 478-nucleotide ribosomal RNA is filed under the name uncultured Pelotomaculum sp. RNAcentral's name for it is "bacterial SSU rRNA". It matches the Rfam family "Bacterial small subunit ribosomal RNA", at positions 910 to 1382 of the family's 1533-position model. The record is from RNAcentral. Lineage: Bacteria; Bacillati; Bacillota; Clostridia; Eubacteriales; Desulfotomaculaceae.
AAAGUUCGACGGGGCCCGCACAAGCGGUGGAGCAGUGUAGGUUAUUCGACGCAACGCGAAGAACCUUACCAGGGCUUGACACUCCCUGACCGCGUAUGAAAGUACGUUUUCACCCUCGGGUGACAGGGAGACAGGUGGUGCAUGGUUGUCGUCAGCUCGUGUCGUGAGAUGUUGGGUUAAGUCCCGCAACGAGCGCAACCCCUACGUUUAGUUGCUAACGCGUGAAGGCGAGCACUCUAGACGAACUGCCGUUGACAAAACGGAGGAAGGUGGGAUGACGUCAAAUCAUCAUGCCCCUUAUGUUCUGGGCUACACACGUGCUACAAUGGCCGGUACAGACGGACGCAAAGCCGCGAGGUGGAGCAAAUCCUAAAAAGCCGGUCUCAGUUCGGAUUGCAGGCUGCAAUUCGCCUGCAUGAAGUCGGAAUCGCUAGUAAUCGCAGGUCAGCAUACUGCGGUGAAUACGUUCCCGGGCCUU